Long non-coding RNA from Lucilia sericata (common green bottle fly), 970 nucleotides. RefSeq lists it as uncharacterized. The record is from RefSeq and is a predicted model, not a curated record. The transcript is spliced from 3 exons. Lineage: Eukaryota; Metazoa; Arthropoda; Insecta; Diptera; Calliphoridae.
ACACAUGGCGUAUAAUUCAAUGGAUGAUGAUGGAAUCUAGGACAAUCUUUGGACAUGGAGAUGGGGUAAUUAUGUAUUGUUCCAAUUGUUUUUUUUUCUUACUUUUAUUGCUAUGUAUUCUUUUUUCUUUUCAGGUACAAAAUAUAAACAAAAAAACAACCAACAAAAUUAAAUCCACCGAGAUUGGGCUGGAGGAGUGGUGCCUUCAACUACAUUUUAUUAGCCCAAUCUCAUAAUAACAAAUCCACCGGGAGUGGGCAGGAGUGGUGGCACCAUACGCAAUUAGUAGCCCCUCCCUAUUACCAAAAAAAAUAAAUAAAUCCACCGAGAUUGAGCUGGAGGAGUGGUGGCUCCAACUGCAAUUAGUUGCUCAAUCUCAAUUGCGAAAGAAAUCCACCGGGAGUGGGCAGGAGUGGUGGCUCCAUACGCAAUUAGUAGCCCCUCCCUAUUUAAAAUACUAAUUUUGGUAAAAAAGAGGUUUUAGGAGUAGACGACCUCUUCCCAAACAGUGAUUUGCCCGUCCCCCCACGCAAAAAUUUUUUUUGAGUCAGAGGCGUGUUUUAGGGGGUUUUUUGGAGCCAGUGGCGCAGCCAGGAGGCUUAAGGCCCUCUUACACGCAACAAAACUCCGAUGUCUAACAACACAGUUGAAGAGAGCGGUGUGCGGAAUCAUCACAACAUUACCUACUGGAAAUACCUCUACACUCUUCGUUACCUCUUCGAGUUUUCUUUCCUAUUAUACCUGGUCACAGUCUUCGAAAGACUUUCAUAAAGAAGGUAUUCGAGACAUUUCUUAUCCUUUUCCAGGAAAUCAUUUUACGGGAAGUAGCAUAAACAUACAAAUAAUAAUUAUUUUUCCAAAAACUCCAUUCUUCACGGUAAUGAUAUUUUCCAAUUAAUUGACGUCCCAGUGAACAAUGACAAUAUCAAGUUAAUUAUAAAUUUUGUAAAACAUUCUAAUCUUUAUAAUU